AGGAUUAACGCUGGCGGCGUGCCUAACACAUGCAAGUCGAACGAGGUAGCAAUACCUAGUGGCAGACGGGUGAGUAACGCGUGGUCAACCUACCCUUGAGUGGGGGAUAACUAGCCGAAAGGUUAGCUAAUACCGCAUACUUCGCCGAGAGGCAUCUCUUGGCGAUAAAAGGAGCAAUCCGCUCGAGGACGGGACCGCGUCCCAUUAGCUAGAUGGUGGGGUAACGGCCUACCAUGGCACCGAUGGGUAGCUGGUUUGAGAGAGCGACCAGCCACACUGGGACUGAGAAACGGCCCAGACUCCUACGGGAGGCAGCAGUGAGGAAUUUUCCGCAAUGGGCGAAAGCCUGACGGAGCGACGCCGCGUGUGGGAAGAAGGCCUUCGGGUCGUAAACCACUGUCGAAGGGGACGAUAAUGACGGUACCCUUGGAGGAAGCCCCGGCUAACUACGUGCCAGCAGCCGC
Molecule: ribosomal RNA, 464 nt
Filed under: uncultured bacterium
Lineage: Bacteria
Description: SSU rRNA
Rfam family: Bacterial small subunit ribosomal RNA
Source: RNAcentral